GAUGAACGCUGGCGGCGUGCUUAACACAUGCAAGUCGAGCGAGCGAGUUCUUCGGAACAAUCUAGCGGCGGACGGGUGAGUAACACGUGGGCAACCUGCCUCAUAGAGGGGAAUAGCCUCCCGAAAGGGAGAUUAAUACCGCAUAAAAUUAUCGAGUGGCAUCACAUGAUAAUCAAAGGAGUAAUCCGCUAUGAGAUGGGCCCGCGGCGCAUUAGCUAGUUGGUGAGGUAACGGCUCACCAAGGCGACGAUGCGUAGCCGACCUGAGAGGGUGAUCGGCCACAUUGGGACUGAGACACGGCCCAGACUCCUACGGGAGGCAGCAGUGGGGAAUAUUGCACAAUGGGGGAAACCCUGAUGCAGCAACGCCGCGUGAGUGAUGAAGGUCUUCGGAUUGUAAAGCUCUGUCUUUGGGGACGAUAAUGACGGUACCCAAGGAGGAAGUCACGGCUAACUACGUGCCAGCCGCCGCCGUAA
Molecule: ribosomal RNA, 476 nt
Filed under: uncultured bacterium
Lineage: Bacteria
Description: partial 16S ribosomal RNA
Rfam family: Bacterial small subunit ribosomal RNA
Source: RNAcentral